GGCCGAGAGGCUGAAGGCGCUCCCCUGCUAAGGGAGUAUACGGUUUAUAGCCGUAUCGAGGGUUCGAAUCCCUCC
RNAcentral lists this transfer RNA (75 nucleotides) under Vibrio cholerae. RNAcentral's name for it is "tRNA-Ser". It matches the Rfam family "tRNA", at positions 9 to 64 of the family's 71-position model. Rfam says of the family: Transfer RNA (tRNA) molecules are approximately 80 nucleotides in length. Their secondary structure includes four short double-helical elements and three loops (D, anti-codon, and T loops). Lineage: Bacteria; Pseudomonadati; Pseudomonadota; Gammaproteobacteria; Vibrionales; Vibrionaceae. RNAcentral also lists the same sequence under 2 other names. The record is from RNAcentral.